UACAGAGGGGGCGAGCGUUGUCCGGAAUCAUUGGGCGUAAAGCGCGUGUAGGCGGCCCGGUAAGUCCGCUGUGAAAGUCCAGGGCUCAACCCUGGGAUGCCGGUGGAUACUGUCGGGCUCGAGUCCGGAAGAGGCGAGUGGAAUUCCUGGUGUAGCGGUGAAAUGCGUAGAUAUUGGGAGGAACACCAGUGGCGAAGGCGGCUCACUGGACCGGAACUGACGCUGAGGCGCGAAAGCGUGGGGAGCAAACAGG
RNAcentral lists this ribosomal RNA (253 nucleotides) under uncultured bacterium. RNAcentral's name for it is "partial 16S ribosomal RNA". It matches the Rfam family "Bacterial small subunit ribosomal RNA", at positions 524 to 776 of the family's 1533-position model. The record is from RNAcentral.